RNAcentral lists this ribosomal RNA (375 nucleotides) under Listeria monocytogenes. RNAcentral's name for it is "bacterial SSU rRNA". It matches the Rfam family "Bacterial small subunit ribosomal RNA", at positions 212 to 579 of the family's 1533-position model. The record is from RNAcentral. Lineage: Bacteria; Bacillati; Bacillota; Bacilli; Caryophanales; Listeriaceae.
CUAUCGCUUACAGAUGGGCCCGCGGUGCAUUAGCUAGUUGGUAGGGUAAUGGCCUACCAAGGCAACGAUGCAUAGCCGACCUGAGAGGGUGAUCGGCCACACUGGGACUGAGACACGGCCCAGACUCCUACGGGAGGCAGCAGUAGGGAAUCUUCCGCAAUGGACGAAAGUCUGACGGAGCAACGCCGCGUGUAUGAAGAAGGUUUUCGGAUCGUAAAGUACUGUUGUUAGAGAAGAACAAGGAUAAGAGUAACUGCUUGUCCCUUGACGGUAUCUAACCAGAAAGCCACGGCUAACUACGUGCCAGCAGCCGCGGUAAUACGUAGGUGGCAAGCGUUGUCCGGAUUUAUUGGGCGUAAAGCGCGCGCAGGCGGU